UACGGAAGGAGCAGUGGGGAAUAUUGCACAAUGGGCGAAAGCCUGAUGCAGCUAUGCCGCGUGUAUGAAGAAGGCCUUAGGGUUGUAAAGUACUUUCAUCGGGGAGGAAAAAACAAAACUAAUAAUUUUAUUUCUUGACGUUACCCGAAAAAGAAGCACCGGCUAACUCCGUGCCAGCAGCCGCGGUAAUACGGAGGGUGCUAGCGUUAAUCAGAAUUACUGGGCGUAAAGAGCACGUAGGUGGUUUUUUUAAAGUCAGAUGUGAAAUCCCUGGGCUUAACCUAGGAACUGCAUUUUGAAACUGAAAUACUAGAGUAUCGUAGAGGGAGGUAGAAUUCUAGGUGUAGCGGUGAAAUGCGUAGAUAUCUGGAGGAAUACCUGUGGCGAAAGCGGCCUCCUAAACGAAUACUGACACUGAGGGUGCGAAAGCGUGGGGAGCAAACAGGGAUUAGAUACC
RNAcentral lists this ribosomal RNA (457 nucleotides) under uncultured bacterium. Its description in RNAcentral is "bacterial SSU rRNA". It matches the Rfam family "Bacterial small subunit ribosomal RNA", at positions 340 to 786 of the family's 1533-position model. The record is from RNAcentral.